GAUGGUGGCCAAGCGCUGGGUUGGUGAGGUGCCGGCGGAAGGAUGAGAAUCCACAUCUCAACCUGACAGUGAGAAAAUACGCAGGAAACACUUAUUUCUCUAUGAAAAUAUGAGUCUGAAGAAAGUCAAGAGACUCUACAAACAUUUCUGCAGCCCUCUAUUGGAGAUUUGCAAAGGUCUGCAUGUGCACCCCUUUGGACGUCAAGGGCUUACUGAAUACCAUUUCCACACGGUCUAUCGCUAUGUCAGAGGGCAACUGCUCCACCAUCAUUUCUG
Molecule: long non-coding RNA, 276 nt
Filed under: Pan troglodytes (chimpanzee)
Lineage: Eukaryota; Metazoa; Chordata; Mammalia; Primates; Hominidae
Description: long non-coding RNA NONPTRT007441
Source: RNAcentral